UGGGGAAUAUUGCACAAUGGGCGCAAGCCUGAUGCAGCCAUGCCGCGUGUAUGAAGAAGGCCUUCGGGUUGUAAAGUACUUUCAGCGGGGAGGAAGGGAGUAAAGUUAAUACCUUUGCUCAUUGACGUUACCCGCAGAAGAAGCACCGGCUAACUCCGUGCCAGCAGCCGCGGUAAUACGGAGGGUGCAAGCGUUAAUCGGAAUUACUGGGCGUAAAGCGCACGCAGGCGGUCUGUCAAGUCGGAUGUGAAAUCCCCGGGCUCAACCUGGGAACUGCAUUCGAAACUGGCAGGCUAGAGUCUUGUAGAGGGGGGUAGAAUUCCAGGUGUAGCGGUGAAAUGCGUAGAGAUCUGGAGGAAUACCGGUGGCGAAGGCGGCCCCCCGGACAAAGACUGACGCUCAGGUGGGAAAGCGUGGGGAGCAAACAGG
RNAcentral lists this ribosomal RNA (429 nucleotides) under Chloroflexota bacterium. RNAcentral's name for it is "Chloroflexi bacterium partial 16S ribosomal RNA". It matches the Rfam family "Bacterial small subunit ribosomal RNA", at positions 355 to 776 of the family's 1533-position model. The record is from RNAcentral. Lineage: Bacteria; Bacillati; Chloroflexota.